RNAcentral lists this unclassified non-coding RNA (200 nucleotides) under soil metagenome. RNAcentral describes it as "partial contains internal transcribed spacer 2 and large subunit ribosomal RNA". The record is from RNAcentral.
UCUUAAAUGUAUUAGCUGACUCUUGUUGUGGGAUUUGGUUCUACUCAGCGUGAUAAUUACUCAUGACCGUUGAGGACAUCUUCUUUCGGGAAGGUGGCCAGGACUCAUCUAGAGUUGCUUCUAAUUCUCCGAAGCUUUCGAGCGGACGAACUUUUCAACCUUUUGACCUCGAAUCAGGCGGGACUACCCGCUGAACUUAA